Molecule: long non-coding RNA, 1877 nt
Filed under: Pan troglodytes (chimpanzee)
Lineage: Eukaryota; Metazoa; Chordata; Mammalia; Primates; Hominidae
Description: long non-coding RNA NONPTRT011075
Source: RNAcentral
AUCAUUCUAAAGUAGAACACUAGCACUCUCAAUCUGUUUUCUCACUAGGAUGGAUAAUGCAUCUGUAAACCUGAAACGUACCCAUUCUCCUUGAAGGCAAAUGGGCAUCUGCCUUAACUUUGGCAUAAAGAUGUUCACUGAUCCUGGCUUACUGGACUUUAAUCCAGUACUAAUGACUUGAAGCACACUGUGAACUACAAACAUAUUUUCAUUCAUCAUGGCAGAUGCUCUUUGAGACUUGCAUUGUGAGGACAGAAGUUCAAUUAAUGUGUUUCCCAUUUGUUCUUCUGACAGAUAGAGGCCAAAUGACACAAUGGGAAGAUCUUCAACUAAGUGUCAAGAAAAAAAACUAGUGUUCUAGUGUUCUAGAGUCCUCUUUGCCACUUAAAAUAGCCUUGUGACUAUAAGUGUGUCAUCCAUCAUCUUGGAGGUUCAGAAAUGGAAAGGAAAGACAUUUUGUAAGUGGCAUAGCAUAAAUGUCGAUAGAAUCCUGGCUUUGUCACUCCAACUUAGGUGACCACUAAACCAUCUGUUUCCAUUUUCUCUUUCACUUAUUUAAUAUACAUUUAGUGGUUAGCAUAAACUGACACUGUAUUAAAUAAUUAAAAAAUGAAAUAAAUGGUUGUUUUCUAGAGAAAUGCAGCAUUUAGUGUGAAAGGCAGACAUCCAAACCUCACAUGAUAUGGUCAAUAAAAGCCUUUCUCAAAUUUUUAUGUGUAUAGGAACCACCUGAGGAUCUCCUUAAAAUGCAGAUUGUAGUUCACUAGGUCUGGAGUGGGACCUGGGAUUCCUCAUUUCACACAAGCUUUCAGGCUAUGGAUACUGCUGAUCAGUGAAUCACAGUUUGAGAAGUGAGUGUAAUAAAAUAUAAACAGAGAUAUGCUAUCGGAGCACAGAAGAAAAGAAACUAACUGAACUAUGUAGCAUCCAAAGAGGAAGUGAGAUGGAGUUGAAGGAUGAGUAACAAAAGAUGCAAAGGAAGGCAUUUAAAUGUCUUUGAGUAGAGGCACUAUUUUAUACAGAACACAGAGGUAUGAAUUGCCAUGGUGUGAGUGUAGAAAAAUAAUCCCACACUGGGGAGUCAUGUACAGGGAGACCAGUUUCCAGGAAGAGCAACAGUUCACUUAGGAGGUAAUGAAGGCCUGAAUUACUUUAAUGUGUUCAUGUGAUUAUUCAUAGCUGGGUUUUCUAAAAGGUGUAGUGGAGAGGGCCUAAUGAAGGGGAAAACAGGGAGGAUAAAAAGAAAAAGGAAAUACAUUUCUCCCAAUAUAUUUGUAAGGUAAAAAGUGACAAGGCCAUGGCCAGGUUCAGUGGCUCAUGUGUGUAAUCCCAGUGCUUUGGGAGGCUGAGAUAGGAGGAUCACUUAAGGCCGGGAGUUCAAGAUCAGCCCAGGCAACAUAGCAAGACCCUAUCUCUACAUAAAAUUAGCCAAGUGUGGUGCCACGUGUCUGUAGACCUGACUACUUGGGAGACUGAGGCAGAAGGAUCACUGGAGCCCAGGAGUUCAAGGUUACAAUGAGCUAAGACCAUGCCACUGCACUCCAGCCUGAGUAACAACAGAGCAAGACCCUGUCUCAAAAAAAAAAAGAACGAAAGAAAGAAAGAAAAACAAAAACAAAAAAGAAAAAGCAAAUGACAGAACCAAAUCGCUGAUCAUAAGUGGCUGAGGGUAAAAGGGAAGAGAGACAGGAAAAUGUAUUGCUCUGGUGACUGGUAAUGUUGUUUUUACUCAAGAUAAUGGUUAUACUAGGAGAAACAGUUUCUGAUUUGUUGGAGGAGGUAAAAAGUGAAGACAAAAUGAAUUUGAACAUUGAAAAUUUAAUGACUGAGGGACAUAUUUCCAGGGCCACUCUAGGUUUAAAGAUCUAUUAUUGCUU